CCUAAAAGCGAAGUGGCAUAGCGGGAACUUUCAAAAAGCGGAGGAUACCUGUAAUUGCUCUCCUUUUUGGCUGCCUAAUAUUCACCACCCCCCAGCACGCACACACACGCACACACACACACACACACACACACAAAAUGUGUGUGUGUGUGUAUGUGUGUGUGUGUGUGUGUGUGACAACAGUUCCUAAUGUCCUUAUGAGGAAUUACCUAUCUCCAAUAGCAAGUGGUUUUAUUGGAACUGUCAAUGCAGUUGCCAGGGAGUGAGCCCAUAACGCCAAGGUAGGCCAGCUGAACUCAGGACUUUGAACUUGAUCAGAAAUGGAACAAAAUAUAAAACACCAGAAAAAGCAUACCCGCAUUCCUUCCAUCAUCAUCUCCUAGUGAGGCCGUUGAAACAUUCCUGCUUCCAGACCCCUGGUGCCCUGAAUAUCUGUCCUUUGAUGAGCCUGUUCUCCAGUCCUUCCCAUCGAUUCUGUCCCCAGAGUUGUAGCCAUGAACAAAUAACACAGUUCUGGGGUGGGGCACGCAGCCCACUUUACAGCAGGAGAGACAGACUCCCAGCCAAGAGUUGAGAGGUUCACUUCUUCCUGCGCCUCGGUGACAAGCAAAUGCAGGCCACCCCUUGGGAAGGAACCUGGGCAUGAUAUCAAGGUGGAGAAGUGUUGUUAUCCUAAUGAU
Molecule: long non-coding RNA, 680 nt
Organism: Prionailurus viverrinus (fishing cat)
Lineage: Eukaryota; Metazoa; Chordata; Mammalia; Carnivora; Felidae
Exons: 3
Source: RefSeq, a predicted model, not a curated record